This 292-nucleotide ribosomal RNA is filed under the name uncultured bacterium. Its description in RNAcentral is "partial 16S ribosomal RNA". It matches the Rfam family "Bacterial small subunit ribosomal RNA", at positions 505 to 796 of the family's 1533-position model. The record is from RNAcentral.
GUGUCAGCCGCCGCGGUAAUACAGAGGUGGCAAGCGUUGUUCGGAAUUACUGGGCGUAAAGCGCGUGUAGGCGGCUCUUCAAGUCAGGCGUGAAAGCCCCGGGCUCAACUCGGGAACUGCGCUUGAUACUGUCGAGCUAGAGUGUGGAAGGGGCGAUUGGAAUUCCGUGUGUAGCGGUGAAAUGCGUAGAUAUACGGAGGAACACCAGAGGCGAAGGCGGAUCGCUGGGCCAACACUGACGCUGAGACGCGAAAGCUAGGGUAGCAAACGGGAUUAGAUACCCGUGUAGUCC